Molecule: ribosomal RNA, 487 nt
Filed under: uncultured bacterium
Lineage: Bacteria
Description: SSU rRNA
Rfam family: Bacterial small subunit ribosomal RNA
Source: RNAcentral
AGAAUGAACGCUGGCGGCGUGCUUAACACAUGCAAGUCGAACGGAAUACAAGGGAGCUUGCUCCUGAACUAUUUAGUGGCGAACGGGUGAGUAUCACGUGAGCAACCUGCCCCGAAGAUUGGGAUAACACCGGGAAACCGGUGCUAAUACCGAAUACCCCUCACACAUCGCAUGAUGAGUGAAGGAAAUGUUUUUUCGCUUCGGGAGGGGCUCGCGGUCCAUCAGCUUGUUGGCGGGGUAACGGCCCACCAAGGCUACGACGGAUAGCUGGUCUGAGAGGACGAUCAGCCACACUGGAACUGAGACACGGUCCAGACUCCUACGGGAGGCAGCAGUGGGGAAUCUUGCGCAAUGGACGAAAGUCUGACGCAGCAACGCCGCGUGAGGGACGAAGGCUUUCUGAGUUGUAAACCUCUUUCGACAGGAACGAUUGUGACGGUACCUGUAGAAGAAGCACCGGCCAACUAUGCGCCAGCAGCCGCGGUAA